This is a long non-coding RNA of Hippocampus zosterae (dwarf seahorse), 1058 nucleotides long. RefSeq lists it as uncharacterized. NCBI's taxonomy places the organism in Eukaryota, Metazoa, Chordata, Actinopteri, Syngnathiformes, Syngnathidae. The record is from RefSeq and is a predicted model, not a curated record. The transcript has 4 exons.
AAGCACUUGCUACAGUCACAUAUUUUUCAAAUAUAUCUUUUUAUCAUACAAAACUAUGGUAUCUCAAUUGAAAUGACGAUACAACAACAAACGCGGUCAUGCUGUACUGUCCCAAAAAAGGGUGCAACCUAUUCUGUGUUAAUGUGACCAACUAAAAAAGCUGGUUGCACCAGUGCUACCAGUCCAAACGUUACUGUAGAGCCGUGUUCAUAGAUACUUUCUGUGAAUACAUUUUGUUAAACUCAACACUUUUUUGUUUUUUUUACACUCACCUGCAGUCUCAUCACACUGAUUGGAAUUGAAGUUGGCCAACUCCCAACUCCCAUUAGCUCUCGGAGAUAUCAUUAGCCUGCGGGUUCACAUACUCUUUCCACUCUGCACGGUGAAAGUGUACAAGGUCACAUGGCGGGACGAGAGAGAAGGAACAAGUUUGUGCCGUGUCAGCAUUCUGGGCACAAAGCGACCCCUUCCUGUUGUUCUCGCUAAGGUGACACAAGGAUUUGAAGGUGGAGAAACAUUUCCAAAAGCUGUGUUUGUGUAACUUCAUCACACACGCACAAUACAGUUCAAGGAAUUAAACGGCUAAGUUGCAUCUGGCAAAUUCUAACAAGCGCACAAUUAACUUGCAGGGUCACCCUCCUCAGACAGGAAACUCCCCUUCCCCCUGACAUAAAGAGGGGAAGGCGGGGGCAACGGGAACACUGGGCUUCAGUGUGACAGUGAGAUGGCACGAGGGAGAGGAGGAAGGACGAAGCCACCAAAUGUAGCGUCAGCUUCUACAUUCACAACAUAAAUGUGGAGUUGUCUCAACACCUGCAUCCCCCACGGGGAUGACGUCCCUGAUCCGGGGGUCCUGAUGUACCAACUUGAACCUUCAAAUGUCAAAUGAACAGGGAUGAAUCCAUGAAGAGGACAAGCGGUUGACAUCGCCGUUAUUCAAGGAAAGCAUGCUGUAGAUGUCGCACUUUCCUAAAAAGAAGACACAAUUUUGAUGAUACACUUUAGACAGAAGACGUCAUUGAAGACAAGCUGUUGAUGGGGCAGUUCACUAAAACUGA